CCGCGGUAAUACGGAGGGUGCAAGCGUUAUCCGGAUUUAUUGGGUUCAAGGGUCCGUAGGCGGAUUUGUAAGUCAGUGGUGAAAUCUCACAGCUUAACUGUGAAACUGCCAUUGAUACUGCAAGUCUUGAGUGUUGUUGAAGUAGCUGGAAUAAGUAGUGUAGCGGUGAAAUGCAUAGAUAUUACUUAGAACACCAAUUGCGAAGGCAGGUUACUAAGCAACAACUGACGCUGAUGGACGAAAGCGUGGGGAGCGAACAGGAUUAGAUACCCUGGUAGUCCACGCCGUAAACGAUGCUAACUCGUUUUUGGGCUUUCGGGUUCAGAGACUAAGCGAAAGUGAUAAGUUAGCCACCUGGGGAGUACGAACGCAAGUUUGAAACUCAAAGGAAUUGACGGGGGCCCGCACAAGCGGUGGAUUAUGUGGUUUAAUUCGAUGAUACGCGAGGAACCUUACCAAGGCUUAAAUGGGAAAUGACAGGUUUAGAAAUAGACUUUUCUUCGGACAUUUUUCAAGGUGCUGCAUGGUUGUCGUCAGCUCGUGCCGUGAGGUGUUAGGUUAAGUCCUGCAACGAGCGCAACCCCUGUCACUAGUUGCCAUCAUUAAGUUGGGGACUCUAGUGAGACUGCCUACGCAAGUAGAGAGGAAGGUGGGGAUGACGUCAAAUCAUCACGGCCCUUACGCCUUGGGCCACACACGUAAUACAAUGGCCGGUACAGAGGGCAGCUACACAGCGAUGUGAUGCAAAUCUCGAAAGCCGGUCUCAGUUCGGAUUGGAGUCUGCAACUCGACUCUAUGAAGCUGGAAUCGCUAGUAAUCGCGCAUCAGCCAUGGCGCGGUGAAUACGUUCCCGGGCCUUGUACACACCGCCCGUCAAGCCAUGGAAGUCUGGGGUACCUGAAGUCGGU
This 908-nucleotide ribosomal RNA is filed under the name Chryseobacterium aquifrigidense. Its description in RNAcentral is "bacterial SSU rRNA". It matches the Rfam family "Bacterial small subunit ribosomal RNA", at positions 515 to 1431 of the family's 1533-position model. Lineage: Bacteria; Pseudomonadati; Bacteroidota; Flavobacteriia; Flavobacteriales; Weeksellaceae. The record is from RNAcentral.